UAAGGGCGCACGGUGGAUGCCUUGGCACUAGAAGCCGAUGAAGGACGUUACUAACGACGAUAUGCUUUGGGGAGCUGUAAGUAAGCUUUGAUCCAGAGAUUUCCGAAUGGGGAAACCCAGCAUGAGUUAUGUCAUGUUAUCGAUAUGUGAAUACAUAGCAUAUCAGAAGGCACACCCGGAGAACUGAAACAUCUUAGUACCCGGAGGAAGAGAAAGAAAAUUCGAUUCCCUUAGUAGCGGCGAGCGAAACGGGAAGAGCCCAAACCAACAAGCUUGCUUGUUGGGGUUGUAGGACACUCUAUACGGAGUUACAAAGGACGACAUUAGACGAAUCAUCUGGAAAGAUGAAUCAAAGAAGGUAAUAAUCCUGUAGUCGAAAAUGUUGUCUCUCUUGAGUGGAUCCUGAGUACGACGGAGCACGUGAAAUUCCGUCGGAAUCUGGGAGGACCAUCUCCUAAGGCUAAAUACUCUCUAGUGACCGAUAGUGAACCAGUACCGUGAGGGAAAGGUGAAAAGCACCCCGGAAGGGGAGUGAAAUAGAACCUGAAACCGUGUGCUUACAAGUAGUCAGAGCCCGUUAAUGGGUGAUGGCGUGCCUUUUGUAGAAUGAACCGGCGAGUUACGAUUUGAUGCAAGGUUAAGCAGUAAAUGUGGAGCCGUAGCGAAAGCGAGUCUGAAUAGGGCGUUUAGUAUUUGGUCGUAGACCCGAAACCAGGUGAUCUACCCUUGGUCAGGUUGAAGUUCAGGUAACACUGAAUGGAGGACCGAACCGACUUACGUUGAAAAGUGAGCGGAUGAACUGAGGGUAGCGGAGAAAUUCCAAUCGAACCUGGAGAUAGCUGGUUCUCUCCGAAAUAGCUUUAGGGCUAGCCUCAAGUGAUGAUUAUUGGAGGUAGAGCACUGUUUGGACGAGGGGCCCCUCUCGGGUUACCGAAUUCAGACAAACUCCGAAUGCCAAUUAAUUUAACUUGGGAGUCAGAACAUGGGUGAUAAGGUCCGUGUUCGAAAGGGAAACAGCCCAGACCACCAGCUAAGGUCCCAAAAUAUAUGUUAAGUGGAAAAGGAUGUGGCGUUGCCCAGACAACUAGGAUGUUGGCUUAGAAGCAGCCAUCAUUUAAAGAGUGCGUAAUAGCUCACUAGUCGAGUGACACUGCGCCGAAAAUGUACCGGGGCUAAACAUAUUACCGAAGCUGUGGAUUGUCCUUUGGACAAUGGUAGGAGAGCGUUCUAAGGGCG
This 1236-nucleotide ribosomal RNA is filed under the name Staphylococcus aureus. RNAcentral's name for it is "partial 23S ribosomal RNA". It matches the Rfam family "Bacterial large subunit ribosomal RNA", at positions 12 to 1249 of the family's 2925-position model. Lineage: Bacteria; Bacillati; Bacillota; Bacilli; Caryophanales; Staphylococcaceae. The record is from RNAcentral.